AUUCUGGGAGCUUCGGAUUUCAGAAUUAAAGGUGGCCUCUACAUGUAAGCUACUGUUUGGAGAUGAGCCCGCGUACCAUUAGCUUGUUGGUAGGGUAAUGGCCUACCAAGGCUACGAUGGUUAGCUGGUCUGAGAGGAUGAUCAGCCACACUGGAACUGACACACGGUCCAGACUCCUACGGGAGGCAGCAGUGAGGAAUUUUGCGCAAUGGGGGAAACCCUGACGCAGCAACGCCGCGUGAGUGAUGAAGGCUUUAGGGUCGUAAAGCUCUGUCAAGUGGGAAGAAACUGUUUGAUGCUAAUAUCAUCAUACACUGACGGUACCACUGAAGGAAGCACCGGCUAACUCCGUGCCAGCAGCCGCGGUAAUACGGGGGGUGCAAGCGUUAUUCGGAAUCAUUGGGCGUAAAGAGCGCGUAGGCGGCUUUUUAAGUCAGAUGUGAAAGCCCGGGGCUCAACCCCGGAAGUGCAUUUGAAACUAAGAAGCUUGAGUAUGGGAGAGGGAAGUGGAAUUCCUGGUGUAGAGGUGAAAUUCGUAGAUAUCAGGAGGAACACCGGUGGCGAAGGCGACUUCCUGGACCAAUACUGACGCUGAGGCGCGAAGGCGUGGGUAGCAAACAGGAUUAGAUACCCUGGUAGUCCACGCAGUAAACGGUGAACACUAGGUGUAGCGGGUAUUUACCCCUGCUGUGCCGCAGCUAACGCAUUAAGUGUUCCGCCUGGGAAGUACGACCGCAAGGUUAAAACUCAAAGGAAUUGACGGGGGCCCGCACAAGCGGUGGAGCAUGUGGUUUAAUUCGACGCAACGCGAAGAACCUUACCUGGAUUUGACAUCUCCCGAAGUUCCGAGAAAUCGGAACGUGCCCGUCAGGGAGCGGGAUGACAGGUGCUGCAUGGCUGUCGUCAGCUCGUUCGUGAGAUGUUGGGUUAAGUCCCGCAACGAGCGCAACCCCUAUCUUUAGUUACCAUCAUUCAGUUGGGGACUCUAAAGAUACUGCCCCGGUUAACGGGGAGGAAGGUGGGGAUGACGUCAAGUCCUCAUGGCCUUUAUAUCCAGGGCUACACACGUGCUACAAUGGGCUAUACAAAGGGUUGCGAGCCCGCGAGGGUUAGCUAAUCCCAAGAAGUAGUUCUAAGUUCGGAUUGGAGUCUGCAACUCGACUCCAUGAAGCUGGAAUCGCUAGUAAUCGUGGAUCAGCAUGCCACGGUGAAUACGUUCCCGGGCCUUGUACACACCGCCCGUCACACCAUGAGAGUUGGUUGUACCAGAAGUUGUUGGACUAACCCCUUUUGGGGAAGUAGGCACCUAAGGUAUGGCUGAUGAUUGGGGUGAAGUCGUAACAAGGUA
RNAcentral lists this ribosomal RNA (1348 nucleotides) under metagenome. RNAcentral describes it as "bacterial SSU rRNA". It matches the Rfam family "Bacterial small subunit ribosomal RNA", at positions 173 to 1498 of the family's 1533-position model. The record is from RNAcentral.